UACGUAGGUGGCAAGCGUUGUCCGGAUUUACUGGGUGUAAAGGGCGUGCAGCCGGGCUGACAAGUCAGAUGUGAAAUCCCGAGGCUCAACCGCGGAACUGCAUUUGAAACUGUUGAUCUUGAGUACUGGAGAGGCAGACGGAAUUCCUAGUGUAGCGGUGAAAUGCGUAGAUAUUAGGAGGAACACCAGUGGCGAAGGCGGUUUGCUGGACAGCAACUGACGGUGAGGCGCGAAAGCGUGGGGAGCAAACAGG
This 253-nucleotide ribosomal RNA is filed under the name uncultured bacterium. RNAcentral describes it as "partial 16S ribosomal RNA". It matches the Rfam family "Bacterial small subunit ribosomal RNA", at positions 524 to 776 of the family's 1533-position model. The record is from RNAcentral.